Molecule: ribosomal RNA, 1081 nt
Filed under: uncultured bacterium
Lineage: Bacteria
Description: bacterial SSU rRNA
Rfam family: Bacterial small subunit ribosomal RNA
Source: RNAcentral
UGAGACACGGUCCAGACUCCUACGGGAGGCAGCAGUGAGGAAUAUUGGUCAAUGGACGCAAGUCUGAACCAGCCAUGUCGCGUGCAGGAUGACUACCCUAUGGGUUGUAAACUGCUUUUAUAUUGGAAGAAUUGCGCUUACGAGUUAAGCGUUUGACGGUACAUUAUGAAUAAGGAUCGGCUAACUCCGUGCCAGCAGCCGCGGUAAUACGGAGGAUCCGAGCGUUAUCCGGAUUUAUUGGGUUUAAAGGGUGCGUAGGCGGAAAUGUAAGUCAGUGGUGAAAUCCUGCAGCUUAACUGUAGAAUAGCCGUUGAAACUGUGUUUCUUGAGUCCAGUUGAAGUAGGCGGAAUGUAGCAUGUAGCGGUGAAAUGCUUAGAUAUGCUACAGAACACCGAUAGCGAAGGCAGCUUACUAAACUGAAACUGACGCUCAUGCACGAAAGCGUGGGGAUCAAACAGGAUUAGAUACCCUGGUAGUCCACGCCCUAAACGAAGAUCACUCGUUGUUGGCAACUAUAUCGUCAGCGACUAAGCGAAAGCACUAAGUGAUCCACCUGGGGAGUACGAUCGCAAGGUUGAAACUCAAAGGAAUUGACGGGGGCCCGCACAAGCGGAGGAGCAUGUGGUUUAAUUCGAUGAUACGCGAGGAACCUUACCUGGGCUAGAACGCAGAACGACGUUUCGGGAAACCGGAAUUCUCUUCGGAGCGAUCUGCGAGGUGCUGCAUGGUUGUCGUCAGCUCGUGUCGUGAGAUGUUGGGUUAAGUCCCGCAACGAGCGCAACCCCUAUACUUAGUUGCUACCGGUAAAGCAGAGCACUCUAAGUAGACUGCCGGAGACAAUUCGGAGGAAGGUGGGGAUGACGUCAAAUCAUCAUGCCCCUUAUGUUCUGGGCAACACACGUGCCACAAUGGGUAAAACAACGGGAAGCAAGAUAGUGAUAUUAAGCAAAUCCCUAAAAAGUAUUCUCAGUUCGGAUUGUAGGCUGAAACUCGCCUACAUGAAGUCGGAGUUGCUAGUAAUCGCGAAUCAGCAUGUCGCGGUGAAUACGUUCCCGGGCCUUGUACACACCGCCCGUCAAG